UCGCCGACAGCAAGUUGCCGGACAUGCAGGCCGGCUGGGAACAGGGCAUCAGCAAUGUCAUGGCCGGGUUGUCCGGUCUCAACAUGGUCUACGAGGCUG
The sequence is a regulatory RNA element, 99 nucleotides long. It matches the Rfam family "Pyrrolysine insertion sequence mttB". The record is from Rfam.